RNAcentral lists this ribosomal RNA (505 nucleotides) under uncultured bacterium. RNAcentral describes it as "partial 16S ribosomal RNA". It matches the Rfam family "Bacterial small subunit ribosomal RNA", at positions 28 to 507 of the family's 1533-position model. The record is from RNAcentral.
GACGAACGCUGGCGGCGUGCCUAAUACAUGCAAGUAGAACGCACAGUUUAUACCGUAGCUUGCUACACCAUAGACUGUGAGUUGCGAACGGGUGAGUAACGCGUAGGUAACCUGCCUGGUAGCGGGGGAUAACUAUUGGAAACGAUAGCUAAUACCGCAUAAUAUUAAUUAUUGCAUGAUAAUUAAUUGAAAGGUGCAAUUGCACCACUACCAGAUGGACCUGCGUUGUAUUAGCUAGUAGGUGAGGUAACGGCUCACCUAGGCGACGAUACAUAGCCGACCUGAGAGGGUGAUCGGCCACACUGGGACUGAGACACGGCCCAGACUCCUACGGGAGGCAGCAGUAGGGAAUCUUCGGCGAUGGACGAAAGUCUGACCGAGCAACGCCGCGUGAGUGAAGAAGGUUUUCGGAUCGUAAAGCUCUGUUGUAAGAGAAGAACGGGUGUGAGAGUGGAAAGUUCACACUGUGACGGUAUCUUACCAGAAAGGGACGGCUAAUUACGUG